GGAACACUCACAAUCGAUCUAUCAGCAGCAGCAGCAGCAGUUUCUUCUGGAAUCAUGUAAUCCGGAUCCUCCGAGCUGGCAACUUCUUCCGGUAACUCCUCUUCAACCCAUGUUGACCAGUCCACUUCACUAUCGCUUUCCCAUGAAAUCUCUUUGCUUCUUUUCAUCGAAUUGAUUUUCUCCGUCAAUGUCAGGAUCAUGUGAUGAUUCAAUACUUCAUAGUCCCUGUAUGUGUAAAUGGCAUAAAGGAUCUGAAGAAUCGCCAGGAAAGCAAAUAGCAGCCUCGCCAGAUUAAUCAUCCAGGUUUGUCGCUCUAGAUCACCACUUGGUGUAAGUCGAAUGAUUGCUACUUCCACGAGGAAUGUAGUACACAACCCUGUAAUUUGAAUGGACACAGACUAGUAAGGUUUAAGAUUUGAUGUUUAGAAUUUGAAUGAACACAGACUAGUUAGGAUACGUACCGAGAUAGAGAUUGGCUCUGACUGGGUAUGUCUGCUUUGUACUGGUAAACAUGUAGAUGAUGAAAAUUGACAUGGUGUAGAUGAAGAAAGCCUUGAUUACUCGAGAUUCGAGCAACAUUGCAUUGUGUAGUUCAAACAGCUUGUCUAGAGCAAUAAACAUGCUAGCUUGCUUCGCUUCAAAUGCUUCCUGUGCUUCCAAUAUCGAUUUUGAAUUCGAAACUAAGUGAUCAUGAACUUGCUGAAGCUGUUUCUGCCUUUGAAGAAGCUCUUCCUGCUGUUGACGACCCAAAUCAGCCAAAUGUUGCAUUGCAUUCCUGCUUUCUUGCAGUGCUACAGAUUGAGAUUUCGUCAGGCUUUCGAGACCUUUAAGCGCCAUGGACUGUCCAUCUA
Molecule: long non-coding RNA, 851 nt
Filed under: Linum usitatissimum (flax)
Lineage: Eukaryota; Viridiplantae; Streptophyta; Magnoliopsida; Malpighiales; Linaceae
Description: long non-coding RNA (LUSI_LNC002402)
Source: RNAcentral